This 254-nucleotide ribosomal RNA is filed under the name uncultured bacterium. Its description in RNAcentral is "partial 16S ribosomal RNA". It matches the Rfam family "Bacterial small subunit ribosomal RNA", at positions 524 to 776 of the family's 1533-position model. The record is from RNAcentral.
UACGUAGGGCGCAAGCGUUAUCCGGAAUUAUUGGGCGUAAAGAGCUCGUAGGCGGUUUGUCGCGUCUGCCGUGAAAGUCCGGGGCUCAACUCCGGAUCUGCGGUGGGUACGGGCAGACUAGAGUGAUGUAGGGGAGACUGGAAUUCUUGGUGUAGCGGUGAAAAUGCGUAGAUAUCAAGAGGAACACCUGCGGCGAAGGCGGGUUGCUGGGCCGACACUGACGCUGAGGCGCGAAAGCCAGGGGAGCGAACGGG